Molecule: ribosomal RNA, 440 nt
Filed under: uncultured prokaryote
Description: partial 16S ribosomal RNA
Source: RNAcentral
CCCUAUGGGGUGCAGCAGGCGGCAGAUGACUGGCAAAAUACUUUCGACAGUAUUUCAGAUCUUAUUUUUAUCCAGGACAAGGAUUUCAGGUUUUUAAAGGUUAAUAAAUCUUUUUGCGACGCGAUGAAAGCUAAACCUGAAGAUUUUAUAGGCAAAAAAUGUUACGAAGUUUUGCACAAGUCUCCUCAGCAUUGGCCGUCAUGUCCGAUGGCGGAAACUUUGAAAGAUGCUAAGUUUCAUAUGCAAGAAGUGUACGACCCCAAUAUUGGUAUUCCGCUUUUAAUUACCACCUCUCCGAUUUUUGACCGAAACGGAAAUUUGACCGCGAUUGUGCACAUUGCCAGGAACAUAUCAGAACUUAAAAGAAAUGAAGAAGCGUUGCAAAAAAGCCGGGAUUUACUCAAUGAAACCGGAAACAUAGCCAGAAUUGGCGGGAGGGC